ACCUACGGGGGGCAGCAGUGGGGAAUAUUGCACAAUGGGGGAAACCCUGAUGCAGCGACGCCGCGUGAGUGAAGAAGUAAUUCGUUAUGUAAAGCUCUAUCAGCAGGGAAGAAAAUGACGGUACCUGAGGAGGAAGCCACGGCUAACUACGUGCCAGCAGCCGCGGUAAUACGGAGGAUGCGAGCGUUAUCCGGAUUUAUUGGGUUUAAAGGGUGCGUAGGCGGAAUGCCAAGUCAGCGGUAAAAUCGCGGGGCUCAACCUCGCUCCGCCGUUGAAACUGGCGUUCUUGAGUGGGCGAGAAGUAU
This 305-nucleotide ribosomal RNA is filed under the name uncultured bacterium. RNAcentral describes it as "bacterial SSU rRNA". It matches the Rfam family "Bacterial small subunit ribosomal RNA", at positions 337 to 660 of the family's 1533-position model. The record is from RNAcentral.